Long non-coding RNA from Leopardus geoffroyi (Geoffroy's cat), 1277 nucleotides. RefSeq lists it as uncharacterized. NCBI's taxonomy places the organism in Eukaryota, Metazoa, Chordata, Mammalia, Carnivora, Felidae. The record is from RefSeq and is a predicted model, not a curated record. The transcript is spliced from 2 exons.
GAUCAAGAGUGAGAUGCUUAACCAGCUGAGCCACCCAGGUCGUUAGCCUGGGCAUCACUUAGCUGGCUUCUCUGCUCUGGGCUCAUGGCCUGAAAUUGAGGAUCUGUCGGGGCUGCUGUCUUUUCUGAGGCCUGGAGUCUUCUUCUAAGCCCACUAUUUGUGGGCAGAAUUUGGAUCUUUGUGCUUAUAAGACUGAUAGCCUCAGCUCCUAGAGGUCACCUGCUGAGAGAAAUUCUCUAGUUGGCUUUGAAGAAGUCCACUGCCGUGUUGUGAUGAGGCCAAGUGGCUAGAACCUGAGGAUGGCCGCUGGGAGCUCAGAGUGGCCGAGUUCAUGUUGAAUUUCUGGAAACAUACCCACCAGUGUGGUUAUUACCUUAACAACAAUGCAGACAGUGCAGGCGCAUUUGAAAAUCAAGUUCAGGGACGCCAUGUUUGUCAUCGGAUGCCUGCUUAUACCAUUCAAGAAGGGUCCUUUUUGAAAACUUGUAAACAUUCCCAAGAAACGAAAUCUUCAUCACAUGAUGAACCCCUUAGACAUUAUUUGGGAAGGAUUUAUUUUAUGUAUGUGAGUCAAUUCCAGAUUUCUUUAAGGGUUGAGUAUAUGUUCAACUUAAAUUGCCUGCACUAACUAGCUUCCUUCUUUCUGCCUGUGAAAACAGUGCUUCUCACACUUGCAUGUGCACAGGAUCACCUGGAAGCUUGGUAAAAGGUAGAUUCAUGUUGAGUAAAUCCGGGUUGGGCCUGGACAUUGUACAUUUCUUACGAGCUCCGGGAUGAUGCCAAGGGUGCUGGUCUGUGGGCCAUAUUUGGAGUGGCCAGAUGUUCAAGCGAGAAAAAGAAAGAGGGCAGAAAGCUCCAGGUUGGCCAGUCACUAGUGUCUUACCCUCACACACACGCCAGAUGGUGUUGUCAGUUCAGGAAACAUACCACAGCUUUACUUGAGGCCGAGUCUAUUGGUCUAAAAAUCCUCCAACUCAUGGGUCCACAGGAUGCAGACGUGGAAGGUGCCCAGAGGUCACUCCGUGCCCAAGGUAGCCAAUGGCAGAACUGAGGCCAGGCAGGGAAAGGGUUUUGCCUGAGGUCACACAGCAAGUUAGGGACGGCACUUUCUUUGCCAUUCCGUCAUUCCAUCCGGUCCCCUGUGUUCUAAAUUUGGUCUGGGUGUGUUUUUCUUAAAGUGUUAUAUUGGUAUUCUAUUAAAAAAAAAGUCGUAUCUUCAAACAUUGGCUUUAAUAUAUUAUGUUAAAUUAUAAAAUAAAAUUAGUCACCAAUCUUGA